GAUUUAUUCGACUAGGAUCACGAUUUAGAUAUAGUGGGAAAACGGAGUAUCAGACCACAAAAACCAAUAAAGCAAGAAGAUCAACAUCCUUUGAAAGAAGGCCCAGCAAACGAUAUUCUAGACGAACUCUACAAAUGAAAGCAUGUGCUACAAAACCUGAAGAACUUAGUGUUCACAAUAAUGUUUCGACCCAAAGUAAUGGCUCCCAACAGGCUUGGGGGAUGAGAUCUGCUCUGCUUGUGAGUCCUUCCAUUUCCUCUGCUCCUGUGCCAGUGGAGAUAGAGAAUCUUCCACAGAAUCCUGGAACAGACCAGCAUGACAGGAAAUGUUUGUUUAGUACCUGAAAUCUAAUGCAUUUCUGUGGUGA
This 367-nucleotide small RNA is filed under the name Pongo abelii (Sumatran orangutan). Its description in RNAcentral is "processed transcript". Lineage: Eukaryota; Metazoa; Chordata; Mammalia; Primates; Hominidae. The record is from RNAcentral.